UUCCUUAGAACAUCAAUACUGGUAAAUUUUUUUUUUUUUUUUGACAAUUUGGUAAAGUUUUUUUUUUUUUAAAAACCAAUUAAGUUUUGUUGAACAGUUACUUUUUGAGUCGACACAUUACUGGGUUGUGUCUCUGGAAAAAGACAAUCAGAUUUAGAUGCGUCUGUGUUGAUGUCAAUCUUUUUCUGGGUCAGACUAUUUUGUUUAUUUUUGAAAUGAUACUUUUAUGGGCUUGUGAGAAUUAUCUAUUUUAGGUGCGAUUGGUACCAUUUAAAUUCCUACUAGUUAAGUUGCUUUUGUUAAUGACAAUUGAAUCUAUAUGCCAGUACUUUUUAUUGGAUGUUGUCUGUUUUGAGUGCAAUACAGUUUGUUGGGAAUCUAUAACUGUAGUAUUUUUCACAAGAGCUUUGAUUUUAAAAUCAAUAUUUCAGCAUAUUUUGCCCCCACUCCUUAAUGCUAGUAUUAUCUACCAAAUGCGUAUAUCAUGUUGUGCCUGUUAUUCAUUUAAGAACACUGCCUACAAGUAUUGUAUCCUCACUAUUAUAGUAGAGCCCUUUGUGUUGGUAUGUCUUAUGAUGUUGUGUGAUAUUAUACAUUUCUCCUUGUGCAAUUAUGAAAAAGUUGACUGAAUCUAAUAUUAACCUUGAAUAUUUUUUGCAAUUUUUUUCAAAUGAUAACUAGUGUUUUGAGGACCCAAAUUUUUUUCCUUGUGCAAAUUUCGUUGGAAGAGAUUGAAAGUUUGCAUCCAGGGGUGCUACUACUUGGUUUGUUUAUCAAGAGUUGAAUUAUGGUAUUUUGGUAGUGUAAUCUCUAAUUCCCUCCUAUGUUCUCUUGUUGUAAAUUUCAAGGCUUGAUCAUGUCUGAAUAGAGAAGUAGUUUAAACUUUAAAGCCCCUGUUAAUUUUCACUUCUGUUGAUAGCUUUCACUUCCACUGUUGUGAUCAAUUGGUCGGAGAUAUAUGAGUUAGAUGCCUAGAUCAAAUGGUCAACAGAUAUAUGAGUUAGAUGCCUAGAUCAAAUGGUCAAAAAUAUAUAGUUUGAAUAUAUUUUUUCUUCUUGAUUAUUAUUUUUUUUUAUAGAAAGGAUACCACAGAUAUGAUAUGCUAAUAUAAACUAUCUAAUAGAAUCUGAAACCAUGGUUUUUAUGUGGUGGUUUCAUGGUUUCCAAUGAGAACCCCGAAAUUGAUUAAUUUUUAUGUUAAAAUUUAAUAUUAUAAAUAAUAUUUUCUCUGUCCAAUUUUUAUAGGCGUUUUUGGUGUUUACACAUGGAUUAAACUAUAAUUAAUGAUGAAAAAGUAAUAAAUUUUUUACAAACAUUUUCAGUUUUGCCCUUGAUUAAUACUCCACUUCAAGAUAUUCAAACUUAGAAAAUUGGAAUAAGACUUUAAAAUGGUUGAUAACCAUGCAAAAUUAAUAAAGGUAAUUUGGUAAUCUGAAUUAUUUUUUCAUCUUAAGAAUGAUAAAAUGGACAAGAUUUUGGGGGGAAAAAAAACUAAAAAGCGCCUAUAAAAGUUGGACGGAGGGAGUAUUGAUAGUGAAAUUAAAUAUAUUAAUUCAAUUUUUUUGUUAAUUAAAUUUAGAUAAGUUUUACAUUAGUUUUUAUUUGGUACAUUUGAUUAAGUUUUGUUAAAUAAAAAUACCUAAGCUACAUAAAUAAUAUAUUUUUACUAAAAAAAUUUGUCAACUAUUAAAUGUAUGUGAUAGCUAUGUAAUUAUGUUCAUAUAUGUAUAUAAUGUUCUAAAACUAUAAUCCUUGCCUUAUAAAUUUUAAUUUAUUUUGUAAUGAAAUUUAACUUUUUACGUUUUUAUAUAUUUUCAGGAAUAAGGAAAUUCUUGGUCAACUAGAAGUUGUCCAACGCCUAUAAAUAUAUGUUUUGGCAUAAACCAAAAUAUAUAGAGAGAAACAUGUAGUCUUUAUUUGUUUCAAGAUAAACCACUAAGGUUUAGUGGUUUAGUGAUGUUUUGGCAUAACCCAAAACAUAGACCAAACAUAGCUUAUUUUAGCAUGUUUAGAUAAACAACUAGUACUUAGUUGUUUAGAAAAACCACUAAGGUUUAGUGUGUUUUGAUAAGAGAGGCAGCUAGGGCUUAGUUUGUCUAGUGAGUAUUGUGAGGCAGAGAUUCUUGUAAUCUUCAUAAUAUUCAGUAAAGAAGAUAGUCUUCUUCGAGAUCUUGUAUUUUGUUCAUCUAAUUUACUGCUAUUGUUUAAUUCCCCACUCAAUAGUAUUUUUACCUAAUAAUUUGUAUCAAGUUGGUAUCAAAGCCAAAAGUUGUAUCAAGUUGGUAUCAGAGCAAAGUUCGAUUCUCUGGUGGAGUUUUCUGUGGUUUAUGGUCUUAACCCGUUCGCAGUACAGAAAGCUAGGUAAAGUUCUUGUGUUUUUUAGAAGAUUCUAAGAUGACAAGAAAAAAGAAGAUGACGAAAACAGAUCUGAAGAAUUUAGAGGAGGUGGAGACAUCUACUUCGCAGCAGAAAACCAACCUGAAGCAGAAGCAGAAAAGUUUAUUUUCUAAUCAAGUAGAUGAUGAUGGUGAUCGAGAUGAGUCAUUCAAGGAAGAUUGCAUAUUGGAGCGCAAGAUGACUAAGACACGAAGUUGGAAACAGACAGUGUUUCUUAUUGGGCGUGCAGGUCAAGUUCCAAGCAAAGUUGAAUGGUUCAUCAAAGUCAAGAGACGUCUUGAGUUCCCUAAUCUCCAGUGUUUUUUACUUAAACAUGAGUUUAAGUUCUUACAGGGAGGAGCCAUGAUACAGGUGUAUCCUACUUGGGAACUCAACAGUAAGAAAACUUUAAAAUAGGUUUCCUUGUUCCAUAAGGGAUAGAAUUUCAGGAAUAAGGAAAUUCUUGGUCAACUAGAAGUUGUCCAAGGCCUAUAAAUAUAUGUUUUGGCAUAAACCAAAAUAUAUAGAGAGAAACAUGUAGUCUUUACUUGUUUCAAGAUAAACCACUAAGGUUUAGUGGUUUAGUGAUGUUUUGGCAUAACCCAAAACAUAGACCAAACAUAGCUUAUUUUAGCAUGUUUAGAUAAACAACUAGUACUUAGUUGUUUAGAGAAACCACUAAGGUUUAGUGUGUUUUGAUAAGAGAGGCAGCUAGGGCUUAGUUUGUCUAGAAAGUAUUGUGAGGCAGAGAUUCUUGUAAUCUUCAUAAUAUUCAGUAAAGAAGAUAGUCUUCUUCGAGAUCUUGUGUUUUGUUUAUCUUAUUUACUGCUAUUGUUUAAUUCCGCACUCAAUAGUAUUUUUACCUAGUAAUUUGUAUCAAGUUGGUAUCAAAGCCAAAAAUUGUAUCAAGCACAGUACGUCAGUACUUGCAUACAAAGAUCAAAGAGAACCUAACAUAGGCACUAGCUAUGUAUAUAGUCUAGGUAUAGUAGUACAUGUCCUAACUGGGGAUCAACAGUACAAAAACACAGGAAGCAGUAGUUCGUAAGGCUUAUUUUUGCAAGACAGAUCUGCAGCCAUAUUUGCUUGCCUAUGUACAUGCCUUGUCUGAUCUAAGUUCCCUGCAUCAGUGUUUUACACUAUUGCACUAUACAAUGAUAUUGCCACCCAUAAUAAAUAUUCCUUGCAUUAGGUUUACAACCAGGUAAGUUAGUGAGUUUGAUUUCUUUAUCAAAAAAAAAAAAAAAAAAGUUUGAGUAGUGAGCAGUGGGUUUACAUGAAAAGAAAACGUAAAAUGGUGAAAGAAAUGAGGAUGUCAUGUAAAGUACCAUGUGAAUGCGCAGGCACAAUCAGAAUUUGAGUAUUAAUGGACUUGGGCUUCAACCUUUAGACUCCUCUUAAUUUCGGGCUAUUGGGUUUGAAAGAGUUGCACUUUUCUACAGUGGGUUUUAAACAGAUAUGGCUUUGAGCCUUUAAGCAAAUUCAAGGCCUUUUCCAAACUUUUUUUUUUUUUAUAUUAAAAAUAAAUUUAUUGAUAAGCUCAACGAAUUAUACAAAAGUAGAGGACAAACGCGCUACAAACCACGUGGCAAAUCCUUUCUGGAUAUUACUUUUACCUUUUUUAUGUUUUUCUUUCAUUUUGACCAUGUUUGAUUUUUUUUUUUCUAUGUUGUUCGUAGGAUUGGUUUUUCUAUUAAAAAAGGGCUUGCAGCGCAGUUUGUAGCCCGCUUGUCCUGUAACUUUGUGUAAUUCUUCUUUUAUCAAUAAAAUUUGUUUUUAGAUUAAAAAAAAUAAAAAAGUCAGAAUCUAUGUAUUGAUAGCUAAAAAUUUGCGGACCAAAUACUACGGAAACAUAAAUUCUAAAUUUAGUUGUUUCAAGUUUUCAACAACCAAUUUAGGUGCAGCAAAACAGGUUGUAAGCCAAGUGGUUCGCAUACCUGUUACAGAAUAGAAAAAUAACAGAAGAAAAAUACUCCGGUAGAUAAUUUUUUUUUGCAGAAUCUAAAAUAUGUGAUGCAGUCUAAGACAUGUUCGUCUCCAUUCCAUUCAGAUAAUCAACAACCCCUUUAUUAUCUGUUUGGGUCUGUUUCGAUCAGAUCACAACACGCUUCUUUAAUUGCUGCUAGUAGCCUAGUAUGAUGCCUUGACAUUCAGCUUCUUGGGAGCACCUUGCACUUUCAAAUUCUGUGCAGGAACAGAUGAAGUUAAGACUUAAGAGCACACACAUUUCUGCUUUAGUAGAGGAGAAACACGUGUUACUAUGCAAUAUGCAAUGUAAGAUGAGCUAAAAUACAUCUGGAGUAGCACAUCGUUAUUCAGGUCUUAUAUAAGUAAACUUGCAGUUUUUGAUAGAAACUACUGAACUCACUCUCGCAAAUCUCGCACCCAUUUCCAGCGUUUAAUAAAGUCAUAUAAGCACACUAACGUAUCACAAACUUUUGCACUUAUCAUAAGCAAUCAGAUAAGCAAACUAACAUAUUCACAGCUUUGUUUCCAUUUAUCAUGCUCUAUUUAUUAGGUAGGGUCGACAAUUACCGUCAUCCCAACAAAAAGAGUCCUACAAACACCAACAAUUCAAACUGUUGACUUUACUCGAGAUUUGUAUUAAAUAUUUUUUAGAUCAUUAAUCAAUGGUUUUCAAGUAGGGUUUACGCUCAUCACGAGAAUACUAUCGUUUUCCUUUUUCCUAUCGUGUACUUUCUUUUUUAGAAAGUGAAGAGUAUAUAAAAAGAGAGAGAGAAAGAAAGAGAAAAAAAAUGGUAUAAAACCACAUCUCUCUCUCUCUCUUAUUCGUCUCUUUCACAUUGGGUUCUGCAAAUCUUCUAACUCUUCUUCUUCUUCUUCUCGAUCUCUUGUUUAUCAAUUGGAAAGAAGGUUUGAAUAUGUAUUUAUUUAUUAAUUUUGUUUGUUGUUGAGCUGGUUUGAUUUCGAUCUGUUAAUAGAAGUGGAAAUUUAGAGUAUGAAACCCUAAUUUUUUUUUUUUUUUUUUAAUUUUUAUGUAGGGGUUUAUGUUUGAAGUUUGAAUUUUUAGUUGAAUUGGAAGUAACGAUCUAUUGAAGAAGAAAGUUUUUGAUUAGAGAUCUUAUUAGAGAAAGGAGAAAGAAAAGAAAAUGUCUUCUCUUAGCAGAGAACUUGUUUUUCUUAUACUUCAGUUCUUAGAUGAAGAGAAAUUCAGAGAAACUGUUCACAAGUAAGUGCGAUUUUUUGUUUUAGAGAUAGUUUUGAUUUUAGUUACUUUUUUGUCAUUUUGUGUGUGUUUAUGAAUUAAGAAUUGGUUCUGUUUGUGUUUAUGUUGAAGAUUGGAGCAAGAGUCAGGGUUUUUCUUCAAUAUGAAGUACUUUGAAGAUUCUGUGAACAAUGGAGAAUGGGAUGAUGUAGAAAAGUAUCUUUCUGGAUUUACAAAAGUAGAUGAUAAUAGGUAUUCCAUGAAGAUAUUCUUCGAGAUCCGGAAACAGAAGUACCUUGAAGCUUUAGACAAGUAAGUGGUAGAUUACAUUGGUUAUGUUAUGCAUUUUUGCUUACUUUUGUUGUUAUUGUAUUUAUGGGGUGAUUAAGUAUAAAUUUGUUUGGUUUAUAGGCGCGAUCGAGCUAAAGCAGUUGAGAUUUUAGUGAAGGACUUGAAAGUGUUUUCAGCUUUUAAUGAUGAGCUCUUCAAGGAAAUAACACAACUUUUGACUUUAGAAAAUUUCAGGUAUUGAGUAAACUUGUUUUUUUUCCUGAUAAGAUGUGAAUGCUGCAUAGUUCAUGUUUUACUAAAUGAUUAUUUAAUUACGUGCAGAGAGAAUGAGCAGCUAUCAAAGUAUGGGGACACUAAGUCUGCUAGGAGUAUAAUGCUUGCUGAACUCAAGAAACUGAUUGAGGCUAAUCCUCUCUUUCGUGAUAAGCUUCAGUUCCCCACUCUAAAGAAUUCGAGACUACGGACACUGAUUAACCAAAGGUACGUCAUUGAAAAGAAUAUCUGUUGGUGUUCCUUUUGGAUUUGAAACUUUAUUUAUCUAGAGUUUCAGUUUAAAUUGGAAACAGCAGCUAUAUAAGAAAGACAAUUUUAAUUUUGUGUUGGGUUUCAGUUUAAAUUGGCAACAUCAGCUUUGUAAGAAUCCCAGGUCCAACCCUGACAUCAAGACACUUUUUGUGGAUCAUUCUUGUGGACCACCGAAUGGCGCUCGAGCUCCAUCCCCAGUGACAAAUCCAUUAAUGGCCAUGCCAAAACCAUCAGGAGGCUUCCCACCUUUGGGUGCUCAUGGGGUAAGGAAAUAAAUGAUAAUAGUUGGUCGCUAUAUAUAUAUUAUUAGGAGGCAUAAAGAACAAAUAAAUGAUUCUUGGUUUCAAUUUUUUGCAGCCAUUCCAACCGGGACCUGCUCCUCUAGCUACGUCUCUGGCUGGCUGGAUGGCUAACCCCUCCAGUGUUCCACAUCCAGCAGCUUCUGGGGGACCCAUCAGCUUAGGUGCUCCUAACAAUGCAGGUACUUAUUGUAUAAGCUCAUGUAGGAAAACAUAUCUGUCCAUUGCUUCUGUUCAGUAUAAACACAUUUGCGCCAAUGGAAAUGUGAAGACCCAUACUAUUUGGGAUUCUUUAAGUUACAGUACAUGCUAUGUGCUGAGCUCUUAAAUCAUAUUGGGGACAAUCGUUCACGCAUAUUUCCUGUUGUCGGAAGUCUAGAUCACCUCCUUGACAUAAGAAGAAGCAAGCUACAGAUCUUGUUCAGACAGGGGAACUGGGGAAGUACACAUUUUGUUCGGAUAGGAGCCUAUCAUGCUGGGUGAGAAUAGUGUCUUGUUGUUUAGUUUCUUUUCCCUGCAUGCGCUCUGCCUUUGGGUCUAUGCUCACAGCCUUGGGGUCUGUAGGACAUCUUGUCCUACAUCUUGUUAUGUUGUGUUGUUUUGUACUUGCUUUUGAAAGUAUAACUGCAUUUCUCAUCUUGACUUCAAUUCGGGCAGUUACUUAAGCGUUACAGUCACAAAGGUUUCCCUGCCGUGAUAGUGUGGUACUUCUAUAAGAAAGAGUGUUUAUGUGCAUCUUGUAGGCAUUAAGUGAAACAAAGGCUUAAAUGAAAGUCAAUGCAGUAGGUAUUUUGUUGUGCGUAAGAGCCAUCUAACAUUACUUAAUGAGAUAAUGGUCACCUAUAUAGCUAGCUCACUUGUUAUGCUUUCCUUUUGGACAACUUGUCUUUGUUAUAUAAAAUCCAUCUGAAGUGGCUCAACCGCUCAAAUGUACCUAUUGUUUUCUUAUCUCAUCACUCUGGAUAGUUCUGUUUUAACGAUGCUCUGCGUGUAUAUGGUUUGACUUUUCCUUCUAGGAGCUAUGUUAAAGCGUCCUAGGACUCCUACUAACAACCCGUCUAUGGAUUACCAAACAGCAGAUUCUGAACAUCUUAUGAAAAGAUCCAGACCGUUGGGAAUGUCAGAUGAGGUACUAUGUAAUUCUAUUCAGCCUUCUCAUGCUUCAUUUAAGUGUUUUUUUGGGCAAUUCUUAAAGUCUGUUAGCUCUGCUGCCUAUGUUUUGCAUUCAUUGAAUAUUUUUAUUUUUCUAGCUUUGAAAUCUUUUUAAAAUGAUGUCUUUUCCUCUUGUUUUUUGCAGGCCAAUAAUCUGCCUGUUAACAUUAUGCCCAUGACAUACACCGGCCAAAACAAUGCCCAGAGCUUAUACUCUUCAGAUGAACUUCCGAAGAAUGUUGUUAUGACUCUCAAUCAGGGAUCUGCUGUUAGGAGCAUGGAUUUCCAUCCAGGGCAACCAACCCUACUUCUUGGUUAGUUAUUUCUAGGUUGAAAUAUCUUUUUUUUUUUGUGGGGUGGGGGGAGGAAAAUUUGUUUUUUGAUUUCUUUUAUAUGGAUGGACGCCUUUCAAUUUCAGUUGGGACAAUAGUCGGUGAUGUAGCGGUAUGGGAGCUAGGUAGCAGGGAAAGGCUUGCUCUUAGAAACUUCAAAGUUUGGGACAUUGGUACAUGCUCAGGUCCUCUACAGGUAACUUGCCAUAUUGAAUGAUCUUGGGAGUUGGGAAUGUUGUUUAUAUAGCUUUGUGGAACACGGUUAUAUACUUAUAAUCUUAUAUGACUAAUCAUUGUUCCUUUUUUUUUUUUUUUCUUAUUUAUUUAAUAGACAGCUCUGGUCAAGGAACCUGCAAUAGCUGUUAAUCGUGUGGCGUGGAGUCCUGAUGGUGCUCUUUUUGGUAUGCUUAGUGUAGUUUCUACCUUUUGAGUCAUGCUAAAUCUUUUGUUAGAAAUUUUAGACUUCGGUUAAGGUACUUGGUGUUAAAGAUGUUUAAGGAUGACAAUAGACCCUGUGAUGUUUGCUAAUCAUGUUUCAUGACGUGCACCAUCAUUUCAGGUGUAGCAUAUAACAAGCACAUUGUUCAUGUUUAUUCCUACCACAACAGUGAUGAUAUACGACAUCACCUCGAGGUUUGCUGACCAUUUUUUUUACAACAUUGCCACUGAUUACGAAAUUACUACUGUAUUUUAAAUGUGUACAUUAUCUUUAGAAACAAAGCCUGCAUUCCAUGAAAAUAGGCCGAAAAGGCCAAUACCAACUGACGUUAUAUACCCUAUAAUGAGCAAGAACCUUCCAAAGACUGCUGGGUCUUACGCUCCUACUAAUCACAAAGUGGCCAAAAGCACAUCUUUAAUUUGUUACUCCCAAACCUUUUUCGGAAUCAAACCCUGCGGAUACGGGCGAGGGGAGACAAGAUCCUGGCACGUUCCAGGGUGACCUCCGCCAAAGAACAUCCCAACGUCAGAUACUGAAUGAGCGGCAAGAGACGGCCUCGUUAUCCACACCUCCGGUCGGAUGAAUGGAGGACCGACCCGGGUUUUCACGAGCGUUGGCGGGUCCUGGAGUGCCCGUCAAGGGCCUGUUCAAUACCAUAAUAAAAAGUAGUAGAGCGAGGAGAGCGGUCUACAAGAGUAAGCGGAUGGUUAAUUCACUUGAGUCUUUCUUGGAAGUGUACAAUUUAGUAUACAAUUAAUGUAAUAUAAUUAACCAAAGCAUUUGAAAUUGAAAUAUUAAUUUAAAAAAAUAAGAGUUUAGGAUUUUGAAAAUUUGUUAAUACCUUCAAUAGGAGUUCAAGCCACAAGAAAGAAGAAGAAGAUGAAGGGACAGAAAAAGUACAAUCUAGAACUCUAGAAUCCACUAGUGCACGGCAAUAUUAAGCAAAUAAGGAUUUCCUACAAAACAGGAAGUAACAAAAAAAAAAAAGGAAAUUAACCAAGUAAAAAGUUUUUCUUGUUCUGGUAACUGAAAUUUGAGUCAGAAUAGGAUCUGUAGAAAUUAAGGAAAGGAAUAGAAAUCUUUAUAAGCUACGUAAGUUAAAAAAAUAAAAAAAAUAAAAUUGAAAGUGUGGGCACCCUCAAACCCCCCUGGCUCCGCCCCUGGUGGUGGCUUGUGGAGACAGUUUAGAAAAUAAGAAAGAGAACAAAAUAAAGAGCGAGAUUUAACUUUUAAAUAAGACAAGGGUGCAUUCUCUGCACACACCAACAAUUCAAUAUUAUAGAGUAAGAUUGCACAUGCUGUGCAAACGACCACUUAUGUGCAUAUAUAGGAAACUUUAAAUCAUUUACUGGUCAGUAUACAGUCCCACCUUCUCGCAAUAAAGAAGUCCAAGUUGAAGCCUUGAAGGCAUUUCCAUUGCUAUCGAAGGCUCUCUUGUGAUGUAAUUAGACCCAUCUUCUUACUAGAGUCAUAUACUUCACUGAUAAGAUGACUGUCAAAUGUUUAUAACUUAAUUCUCUGUAUCUCUAGUUUUAUAGAAGUCUUUCUUUUCUUUGUACCUUUAUCUUUAGAUAUAUGAAGUUUUGAAUUACUUCUUUGCAAAUUUCAUUACAUCUUAUACAGAUAGACGCUCAUAUCGGUUCUGUAAAUGAUCUUGCUUUCUCUCACCCAAACAAACAAUUGUGCAUUGUGACUUGUGGAGAUGACAAAGCUAUCAAGGUAUUUUUGGUCAUGCAAUUACUUGGGUUGUGACAGAAAAUUUUAAGACCUCAAUCAUUAACACUCAAGAUGUCUAGGUGUGGGAUGCAGUCACUGGUUCCAAGCAGUACACUUUUGAAGGUCAUGAAGCUCCCGUCUUUUCUGUUUGUCCUCACUAUAAGGAAAGCAUCCAGGUACUAUAGGAUUUAUCCUCAUGUAUUUUUGUGAUUAUUAGACCAUGUAUACAGUAUUUUGAUUUGGUUCUAUAUGUCAUCACCAUGGUUGUUUCCUCUCAUCCUUGUUAUGUUCUUUACACUGUAUUGUUUUUUCUUACAUGCAGUUCAUCUUCUCAACGGCUAUGGAUGGGAAGAUUAAGGCCUGGCUGUAUGAUAACAUGGGAUCAAGAGUUGACUACGAUGCUCCUGGUCAUUGUUGUACAACAAUGUCCUACAGUGCUGAUGGUACAAGGUCGGCAAAUGAUACACCUCCUUUACGUUUCAGUUUCCCUUUACUGUGUAAUUUAUUGCUUCUUAAGUUUAAUGUACCUCUUAAUAUAUUGUUUGCCACAUCUAUUGGAAAAC
RNAcentral lists this long non-coding RNA (10859 nucleotides) under Aquilegia coerulea. RNAcentral describes it as "long non-coding RNA (ACOE_LNC001321)". Lineage: Eukaryota; Viridiplantae; Streptophyta; Magnoliopsida; Ranunculales; Ranunculaceae. The record is from RNAcentral.